Molecule: ribosomal RNA, 236 nt
Filed under: uncultured bacterium
Lineage: Bacteria
Description: partial 16S ribosomal RNA
Rfam family: Bacterial small subunit ribosomal RNA
Source: RNAcentral
GAUCCUGGCUCAGGAUGAACGCUAGCUACAGGCUUAACACAUGCAAGUCGAGGGGCAGCAUAACGAUAGCUUGCUAUUGUUGAUGGCGACCGGCGCACGGGUGAGUAACGCGUAUCCAACCUCGUCCCUUCGUCCAUCGGACUAACCCGUACGAAGGCGGACUAACACGAUAUGCUAGUUCACAGCGAGGCAUCUAACGUGAACGAAUGUGAAAGGAAAAGGUAGUGGGGAUGCGU